AUGAGGAGGCGGCCGGGGAUCGCCGGCUUGCAGAACGCGGCGGCGACUCGCGACAAAUUCCGUCAGGUCGGGGAGAAUGUGGCCAAGGUCAGGACGGAUGUCAUGCAGGAGCAGCUCGCGACCUUCAGGUCGCAGCUCGAAGAAUUCGCUCGCAAGCAUAAGAGUGACAUCCGUAAAAAUUCGGUAUUUAGACAACAGUUUCAUGAGAUGUGUGCAAAAGUUGGAGUAGAUCCAUUGGCAUCCAAUAAAGGAGUUUGGGCAGAGCUCCUAGGAAUCGGUGACUUCUACUAUGAAUUGGGUGUUCAGAUCGUUGACAUAUGCAUAGCAACAAGAUCGCAUAAUGGUGGUCUUAUUGACUUGCUAGAACUCCGCAAACUUCUCUGCCAGAAAAGAAAAACUGAUCUUGGUUCAUUAUCAUCAGAUGACUGUUUACGUGCUAUAAGUAAGCUGAAGGUCCUUGGUAGUGGUUUUGAAGUAAUUUCUGUUGGGAAGAAAAAGCUUGUGCGAUCGGUUCCUACUGAGUUAAAUAAAGAUCAUAAUGGGAUACUUGAACUAGCUCAGGCUAAGGGCUAUGUCACCGUAGAACAAGUUGAGAAGGAAUUCUCAUGGUCAACUGGCCGUGUAAUCGAUGCCCUUGAAACUUUGCUCAAGGAGGGACUUGCUAUGAUAGACGACGGGCACAGGGACGGCAAGCGUAGAUACUGGUUCCCGUGCGUCACCCUCAGUUCCGAUGCCUCCGGUUCCGAAGCAAAGUCAUAA
Molecule: ribosomal RNA, 759 nt
Filed under: Triticum aestivum (bread wheat)
Lineage: Eukaryota; Viridiplantae; Streptophyta; Magnoliopsida; Poales; Poaceae
Description: partial small subunit ribosomal RNA
Source: RNAcentral